RNAcentral lists this unclassified non-coding RNA (433 nucleotides) under soil metagenome. RNAcentral's name for it is "partial contains 5.8S ribosomal RNA, internal transcribed spacer 2, and large subunit ribosomal RNA". The stretch from base 1 to 120 matches the Rfam family "5.8S ribosomal RNA", at positions 35 to 154 of the family's 154-position model. The record is from RNAcentral.
GAUGAAGAACGUAGUGAAAUGCGAUACGUAAUGUGAAUUGCAGAAUUCAGUGAAUCAUCGAAUCUUUGAACGCAUAUUGCGCUCUCUGGUAUUCCGGAGAGCAUGCUUGUUUGAGUAUCAGUAAACACCUCAACUUCCAUAUCUUUUUUGAAAUGGGAGUUGGACUUGAGUGAUCCCAACGCUUUUCCUCACCGAAAAGUGGCGGGUUACUUGAAAUGCAGGUGCAGCUGGACUUUUCUCUGAGCUAUAAGCAUAUCUAUUUAGUCUGCCUAAAAAACAGAUUAUUACCUUUGCUGCAGCUAACAUAAAGGAGAUUGGUUCUUGUGCUGACUGAUGCAGGAUUCACAAAGACAGGCUUCGGCCGACUUUGUAAACUCGAUCUCAAAUCAAGUAAGACUACCCGCUGAACUUAAGCAUAUCAAUAAGCGGAGGA